GCCCUUGAGUUUGAUCCUGGCUCAGGAUGAACGCUGGCGGCAGGCCUAAUACAUGCAAGUCGAACGGGAUCCGGUGUAGUAAUACACUGGUGAGAGUGGCGCACGGGUGCGUAACACGUAUGCAACCUACCUUUAACCGGGACACAACCCUCCGAAAGGGGGGCUAAUAUUCCAUGUGAUUAUUUUUUGGCAUCAAGAGAUAAUUAAAGAUUUAUUGGUUAAAGAUGGGCAUGCGUCCCAUUAGCUAGUUGAUGAGGUAACGGCUCACCAAGGCUAUGAUGGGUAGGGGUUCUGAGAGGAUAUACCCCCACACUGGUACUGAGACACGGACCAGACUCCUACGGGAGGCAGCAGUAAGGAAUAUUGGUCAAUGGGCGCAAGCCUGAACCAGCCAUGCCGCGUGCAGGAAGACGGCCCUAUGGGUUGUAAACUGCUUUUGUCAGGGGAUAAACCUAUCCACGAGUUGGGUAGCUGAAGGUACCUGAAGAAUAAGGAUCGGCUAACUCCGUGCCAGCAGCCGCGGUAAUACGGAGGAUCCGAGCGUUAUCCGGAUUUAUUGGGUUUAAAGGGUGCGCAGGCGGACUGGUAAGUCAGGGGUGAAAUUCUACGGCUCAACUGUAGGCGUGCCUUUGAUACUGCCAGACUAGAGUUAAGUUGGAGUGGGCGGAAUGUGUUGUGUAGCGGUGAAAUGCUUAGAUAUAACACAGAACACCGAUCGCGAAGGCAGCUCACUAAACUUUGACUGACGCUCAUGCACGAAAGCGUGGGGAUCAAACAGGAUUAGAUACCCUGGUAGUCCACGCUGUAAACGAUGAUCACUCGCUGUUGGCG
RNAcentral lists this ribosomal RNA (831 nucleotides) under uncultured bacterium. RNAcentral's name for it is "bacterial SSU rRNA". It matches the Rfam family "Bacterial small subunit ribosomal RNA", at positions 1 to 828 of the family's 1533-position model. The record is from RNAcentral.